AAAACCCAGUUAAUUUGAGUUUCAGAUGAUCAAGGAAUUAUUUUUUUAAUAUAAGUAUAUCCCAUGCAAUAUUUGGAACAUACUUAUACUAAAAACUAUUAUGAGAUUUUCUGGAAUUCAGAUGUAACUAGGUGUUCUCUA
This 141-nucleotide microRNA precursor is filed under the name Dasypus novemcinctus (nine-banded armadillo). Its description in RNAcentral is "miRNA (ENSDNOG00000028017.1)". The stretch from base 43 to 94 matches the Rfam family "mir-1302 microRNA precursor family". Lineage: Eukaryota; Metazoa; Chordata; Mammalia; Cingulata; Dasypodidae. The record is from RNAcentral.